RNAcentral lists this non-coding RNA (28 nucleotides) under Gomphidius glutinosus. Lineage: Eukaryota; Fungi; Basidiomycota; Agaricomycetes; Boletales; Gomphidiaceae. The record is from RNAcentral. RNAcentral also lists the same sequence under 5 other names.
UGACCUCAAAUCAGGUAGGACUACCCGC